UUGCCGGCUGAGCCAACUGAGUCAGUACGGGCUAACGUGGCUGGAUGAUCUGGGACAAGCCAUUCUCCCCAUCUUUACCUUGAAACCCUCAUUGAUAAACAAGAGGGUCGAACAAGGCAAGUACUAAGAUCCUGUCCAGUGGUUACAUUUUUGACUCUGUGUCUGGCACGUUGUAAGUGUGGAUAAGUAGCAGAUGGGAGUGGGGGACAGGGCAAGGAAUAGUGACCCACAUCUGGAGCCUGGGUGCUGGACAAAGAGAAUCUCUCUCACUGUCCCAGGGGGACACUGGGAGCCCUCAGGCCAAGUACAGCGACUGAUAGGCCGGCCAGUCAUCUGAAAGGUAUGCUUAGAUAGGGCCUGCUUGUUGUCUCUGAGGAAGAAGAGAUGUUGACUUGCUUCACCACAGAAGGCCAGCUAGGACCUGGGAAGCUAAUAUCAGCUUGGCAUAUACUGUGCUUUUACUGCUAGAACAUUUUUGACUUGUGAGGUUGUGAGUUCCCUGUCACUGAAUGAAUGUAAGGAUGUGGAGGAAGGGAUUCAGUUCAGUAGUUCUGAUGCGGCAGGGCAUCAGGAUCCUGGAGGAGUUUGUUCAUAAUACCUGCUGAGUGGGACUCCUGGGGGUGGGGGCUAGGUGUCUCUGAGCUACCUGGCCCUACGGCAGCUGUGCUACUGACCUCAGAAGACUGGGGCUAAAUAUAACCCAGCCUCCUUUACCCUAAAUGCGGCAUGCCAUUUAGGUUUCCAGUUCUUUGCAACCACUGACAGUAGAUGAAGAUCAACCACCUCAGGAGACCAUGAAUGUGAAGCUUAAUCAGUUGGCUUGGUAGCUGCCCAGAGCCUGGACAGAUGGCUUCCCUGGAGACCAGCGAGGACAUGGCUAGCAGGCAUCAUGCUUUUGGGGAUUACAUACUGGAAAGGUCUUGGAAAUCUUGCUUGGCCUAGAAGAAAUGUUGCUGUGGGAAGAUCUCCAGCAAGGCAUCUCCAUAAAUCUUUUCCUGUUUUCCUCUUGAAAUACGAAAUUUGGAAGAGUCAGGUAACAUCUAGAGAAAACCGCCUAUACUUGGAGGAAUCCUAUCAGGCGAGGGAGCAUUAUUGCCACCAUUUUACUGAUCAGAAAACUGAAGUUCAGAAAUAUUGCGAUUUGCUGAUGGUCACAUAG
Molecule: long non-coding RNA, 1159 nt
Filed under: Canis lupus familiaris (dog)
Lineage: Eukaryota; Metazoa; Chordata; Mammalia; Carnivora; Canidae
Description: lncRNA (ENSCAFG00000055734.1)
Source: RNAcentral